GGUUGAGAUUGAAUGUUAAUGCUAAUAGUGAUAGGGUUCAUAAACCUUAUAAAGUUUAUUAAUAUUCCAAAAUCACUCAAAAUGCCACCAAUAGUUUUCUC
Ciona intestinalis (vase tunicate) is the source of this 101-nucleotide non-coding RNA. NCBI's taxonomy places the organism in Eukaryota, Metazoa, Chordata, Ascidiacea, Phlebobranchia, Cionidae. The record is from RefSeq.